GCCUGACGGCUGAGCAGCACUUGGGCGAUUGUAUAACGAAUAAGUCGUAUAAAAUUCUAGAUAGAAAACUGAUAAUGACAACUAUCUAUCUAUUAGUCUUGACCAAAUUACGUGCCAGCAGUCGCGGCAACACGCAGAAGACAAGUGUUAUUCAUCUUUAAAAGGUAUAAAGGGUACCUAGACGGGGAAUCAAGCCAUAGUAGGGACUAAUUUUCUAGAGUUUUAUGGGAGAAAGUCGAAUGUCUGGAGUAGAGAUAUAAUAUUGUGAUACUAGAUGGACGGGCAACGGCGUAGGCAACUUUCUAUGUAAAAACUGACGUUGAGGGACGAAGCCCUGGGUAGCAAUAAGGAUUAGAUACCCCAGUAGUCCAGGGAGACAAUGAUGAGUGCCAUAGGCUAGAUAAAUUAGCCUAUAAAUGAAAGUGCAAGCAUUCCACCUCAAGAGUAAAGCGGCAACGCCCAAAUUGAAAUCAUUAGACCGUUCCUGAAACCAGUAGUGAAGUAUGUUGUUUAAUUCGAUGAUCCGCGAAUAACCUUACCACGUUUUGAAUACUUUUUGUAAAAGCAGGUAUGUUUUUAUUACCACAAAUUGUACAAGCGCUGCACGGCUGUCUUUAGUUAAUGUCGUGAGACUUUGGUUAACUCCUUUAAUUAACGAAAACCCUUGUUUUAUUUGCAUAUAAAACAGUUCUCCGCUAUAUUGGAUAAGAUAAUAGGGAUUACGGCAAGUCAUCAUGGCCUUAAUAGCGUGGGCUAUAGACGUGCCACAUAUGCCUUUACAAAAGGAUGCGAUAUUGUGAAAUGGAGCUAAUCCCCAAAAAAGGACAUAACUAAUUC
Molecule: ribosomal RNA, 837 nt
Filed under: Verrucaria funckii
Lineage: Eukaryota; Fungi; Ascomycota; Eurotiomycetes; Verrucariales; Verrucariaceae
Description: SSU rRNA
Rfam family: Bacterial small subunit ribosomal RNA
Source: RNAcentral